This is a long non-coding RNA of Photinus pyralis (common eastern firefly), 3137 nucleotides long. RefSeq lists it as uncharacterized. The record is from RefSeq and is a predicted model, not a curated record. Lineage: Eukaryota; Metazoa; Arthropoda; Insecta; Coleoptera; Lampyridae. The transcript is spliced from 5 exons.
UUGAAGAUUUUAUUUUGGAGACAAAGUAGGUAAUUGAAGGACGAUGGAUGUAUAGCAGCAACUUACUAGGUAUACGCGUAUGUAUUAUGUACUUUCACCGAUGGUACACAAAACGAUUAGGUACCUACAUACAUUAAAUUUUGUUUAUCGAUCAAAGUGUUUGUGCAAAUUGUAUAUAGCCUCGAGCAACUGAAACUAGGUAAUACCAUAGUGUAAACGAGUACCAUAAUUACCCUUCAAGGUUAGCACGAGAACAGCGUCUAUAGGUAAACAAUAAUUAAAUAUAAAUUACAACUUCUAAUUUUUAUAUCUUGCUCUACAAUUCUAUGAGACGGAUUCCUCGACGAUUUAGCUAGGCACCAGUUGCAACGUGUGACGAAUUUUGGUGAGCCACAUGGAAUCGCUUUGCUUCCAUGCUUAUGAUAAAUCGUAGAUGUCCAUGUCCUCCUACAAUCUAGAAGAAUCUGCCUUUUUCGGUAUGGUUGUGGUAAACAAAAUUUGUUUUUUUGUUAAUGUACUUUUCACUUACAUUCCUCUAAAGUUGCUCUCAAGUUCCCCUUCAGUUACACUCAGGUUCGCAUCAGAUUCUUCUCAAGUUUCUAUCAAAUUUUACUGUUCCUGUCAAGUAUCCAUUAAUGUCUCUCAAUUCCUCAUAAGUCGCUCUCCAAUUGCCUUCAACUUCUGCGUAAGCUUCCCUCAAGUUCUUCUCCAGGUUCCUCUCGUGGUUUGAAACCAAAAGUGGCCCAAUAUAAUUGUAUAGGUAGAAGACCAACCAAGUCAAUGACUCGCUAUAAAUGCAAAUGUGACACGCAACGGUUUUUUCCAUCAAUCUCUACACAAAAUUUCCAAUACGUACUCAUUUGGGGACAUAAAGUUUCACCGGUCCUUAUUGAGAAUAAUACUUAUUCCUCGUAUAUGUACUAUUCCAUUUACCCAUAGUGGAAAAUACCUACUUAGAACUUAUGUCGUAAGAUUUGUUAGUGGUGAUCUCCCCGAUUUUUACAACUUUAGAUUAAGUAACUAUGAGUUCUAGGGAAAAAUUCAAUGCCUAUCUACGCACCUCGACUAUGAAAUUCCAAAUUCGUUAACACAGAGACUUUAUUGCAAUUUAUAGAUAAAUAACUAUUUUUAGCCCUGCGUAUGGUGCAAAGAAUAAGAGAAAUUGUAUAUGUGCCUAAUUUAAACUAUUAGAUGAUAGUGUUAUCGUACCAGCACCUGUUUCCAAGGCGAUAAAGAAUGUCAAUGGCACAACCGACAUGCUAAAUUCGCCUAUAGCAUGGAUCAGUAUAAUGUUACUGAUUCCAUGCCUAUGGUCAAUGUCCCGAACAAAAUUACACCCCUAACCUAUACAAAGCGAUCUAUUUUUUCAACAUUUAAUCAGGUCGACUGCACCAUUUUCUAAAUUAUUUUUCUUAUGGUGCCGUUCACUUUGAUUACCGUGAACGAUUCCUCGUAUAAGGGCUGGAGUGAUCCCUUUGCGCUUCUUUUCGCACAAAAACGUGCUACGGAUGGACGAAAAUUCUUGGCUUUCCAUGUUUGCUUGCUGGGGAUGGCCGGAUAUCUUCGCGAAGGAGGAUCUGAGGGUCUUAUAUAUAGUGUCCCAUGCUAUAAUAAAAAAUAGUGUCCGGAGUCCGGAUGAUGCGGGCUGCUGGCAAAUAAGGAAAAAAAGGAUGCUUUUAGCGUCCGAUGAUGACGUUGCACUUUACCGUCCGCCUGGGGAUGAUAUGCGGUAUAGUUCGACACGUGUGAUUCCGAGGAGGCGGUUGAUUUCAGCGAAGAGAACAGACUCAAAUUGUUGGUCACUGUCGGUUGGAAUCUGUUCCGGAAUUCCGAAUCUUGCAAUCCAGACUCGGCGGAGAUGUCAUUUUUGGGAACACGGCUGGCCAGGUCGUGAAGCGGUCGAGGAGAGCAAGUGCAUACAUGUAUCCUAAGUUUGUAGAAAGGGCCGAACCGACGAAAUCCAUGUCUAUCGAUUUCGAGGGUUACCUCCCCAUCAUCAGGCUUAGCUGAAAGGUGAUCCGGUGUGGCGAUAAAUCUUGGAGUGUUGACCAGUGGCAUCCCUAGAGGGGAGGCAAGAGGGUAGUGUGCCCCUUCCGCUUUUAGCGCCUUGUAGGUGGUAAAAAAUGAGUGAGACAUCUAAAUUUUAUUAUGUAUAUAUACAUACAUAGCUCCUUCUGCGUUAAAGCAAUUCUAAGCUAUAUUUAUUUAGUUAACACCCAUAAAUGUAUUUGGGGAAUGGCACCGCGCCGCCGCCCAUUGGCGUGGACCAUCGAGACACUGGCGACACCAAAGGUGGAAGUCGGAUUUUAUUUUGGGCCAUACGCCCAUACAAUCCUUACUAACGUGCGGGUGGUAAAAAAAGGAAACGGGCGCUGCAUCAGCAGUAGCACACCACCUUCUGCCCUCUAAACAGUAUAAUGAGAAUGACGAUCGUUGGGCUAUUUUCGUACUUCACGAAUGUUUAUAUGACACUUUCGUCUCUAACGAAAGCUAUGUCUAUGGAAAACAGUCUUUAUGACGGUGCUUUUGAAGGUUUCGGAAUGCGUUUCCAAUGCAUUUGCGAGAAAGACCUUUUCUACCUGUCAGGUCAGCAUUGGUAUAUAGGUAUAGUGACCAUAAUUUUUCAACAAGAAAAAAGUACAUUUAUAAUUUACAGGGGAAUGCACUGCUAAUACUCUAGGAAAUUUUUUUGGUCACAAUUUUACGAAUCUAAUCAAACAGUAAGCAAAAAAAGUUUUUUUUUAUCAAACAUAGGUACAUAAAUUAAGUGUCUUUAUAUGUAUAUAUAAAUUUUAAAAGUUAAUUUUCCUCCGACGUUCCUGCCUGAACAUUUUGAUCAUCAUUUUGGUACCAGUCGUACUUUUUGGAACCAUGAAUUUCUUUCAGAAGUUGUGGUUUACUCUUUAAGAAUUGAAACAUUUCAUCGAUAGGUUGCUGCACAAUGGAUCAAAAUCCAACUAAGCAAUACGCCAAAGCAUUUAUGACCAAAGACAUGCAAGAAGUCAUAAUUAUAUUUCGUUUGGACAAAAGGUAUGACUUAAUUUUGUGUAAUUAAGAAAAAGAGUACAUUUAAGUGUACUUGAUAAAUCGUAAAGGACAAUAGGACAGCGUUUGAAAAGAAAGUACUGUCCUACUAA